This 253-nucleotide ribosomal RNA is filed under the name uncultured bacterium. RNAcentral's name for it is "partial 16S ribosomal RNA". It matches the Rfam family "Bacterial small subunit ribosomal RNA", at positions 524 to 776 of the family's 1533-position model. The record is from RNAcentral.
UACGAAUGGGGCAAGCGUUGUUCGGAAUCACUGGGCUUAAAGCGUGCGUAGGCGGAUAUGAAAGUCAGAAGUGAAAGCCUGGGGCUUAACCCUAGAACUGCUUUUGAAACUUCAUAUCUGGAAUCCGGUAGAGGUCAGGAGAAUUCCUAGUGUAGAGGUGAAAUUCGCAGAUAUUAGGAGGAACACCAGUGGCGAAGGCGCCUGACUGGGCCGGUAUUGACGCUGAGGCACGAAAGCGUGGGGAGCAAACAGG